GGAUGUGAGGGCGAUCUGGCUGCAACAUCUGUCACUCCAUUGAUCGCCAGGGUUGAUUUGGCUGAUCUGGCUGGCUAGGCAGGUGUCCCCUUCCUCUCUCACUGCUCCAUGUGUGUCCCUCCUGAAGCUGUGCGCUCGGUGGAAGAGGACGAUGUCCCAGGUAUAGGAGUAGCUUUGGUCCCAGGUAUACAAUAGCUGCGCUCCCCUGCUACAACCUCCAAAUAAGCUCAAGGGUCAGAGAAGGAAAAUAUUAAAUUCAAACCUAAAUUCUUGUAAUAUUCGCUGGUUAGC
Molecule: small nuclear RNA, 291 nt
Filed under: Anolis carolinensis (green anole)
Lineage: Eukaryota; Metazoa; Chordata; Lepidosauria; Squamata; Anolidae
Description: 7SK RNA
Rfam family: 7SK RNA
About the family: 7SK was discovered as an abundant small nuclear RNA in the mid-70s but a possible function has only recently been suggested. Two independent studies have found that 7SK RNA binds the CDK9/cyclin T complex (known as elongation factor P-TEFb).
Source: Rfam by way of RNAcentral